RNAcentral lists this long non-coding RNA (570 nucleotides) under Homo sapiens (human). RNAcentral describes it as "non-protein coding lnc-TPD52-3:8". Lineage: Eukaryota; Metazoa; Chordata; Mammalia; Primates; Hominidae. The record is from RNAcentral.
ACUGCAAGCUCCGCCUCCCGGGUUCACGCCAUUCUCCUGCCUCAGCCUCCCAAGUAGCUGGGACUACAGGCGCCCGCCACUACGCCCGGCUAAUUUUUUGUAUUUUUAGUAGAGACGGGGUUUCAUCGUUUUAGCCGGGAUGGUCUCGAUCUCCUCCUGACCUCGUGAUCAGCCCGCCUCGGCCUCCCAAAGUGCUGGGAUUACAGGCGUGAGCCACCGCGCCCGGCCUACUUCUUUUUUUUUUUGAGACAGGGUUUCGCUCUGUUGCCCAGCCUGGAGUGCAGUGAUGCGAUCUAGGCUUUGAGCCUGCUCUCAGGCUCAUAGGCCAUUCUGAAGAAACAAACAUACAAAUAGGCUGCUGUAGUAGAGUAGAUGUUGUGAAAAGUUUAUAACCCUGGCUGAGGAGGAAGUGAGCAACGCUGGCUGGGGUCUUCAGAAAAGAAUUCCCAAAGUCUGCUGAGAACAGACCCAGUCCCUGAGGAAGGAGAAGAUGUUGCUGCCACGAUCAGUGCCACAGAGACCCUCUCGGAAGAGGAGCAGGAAGAGCUAAGAAGAGAACUUGCAAAGGUA